AGGGCUCGUAGGUGGUUGAUCGCGUCGGAAGUGUAAUCUUGGGGCUUAACCCUGAGCGUGCUUUCGAUACGGGUUGACUUGAGGAAGGUAGGGGAGAAUGGAAUUCCUGGUGGAGCGGUGGAAUGCGCAGAUAUCAGGAGGAACACCAGUGGCGAAGGCGGUUCUCUGGGCCUUUCCUGACGCUGAGGAGCGAAAGCGUGGGGAGCGAACAGGCUUAGAUACCCUGGUAGUCCACGCUGUAAACGGUGGGUACUAGGUGUGGGGUCCAUUCCACGGGUUCCGUGCCGUAGCUAACGCUUUAAGUACCCCGCCUGGGGAGUACGGCCGCAAGGCUAAAACUCAAAGGAAUUGACGGGGCCCCGCACAAGCGGCGGAGCAUGCGGAUUAAUUCGAUGCAACGCGUAGAACCUUACCUGGGUUUGACAUGGAUCGGGAGUGCUCAGAGAUGGGUGUGCCUCUUUUGGGGUCGGUUCACAGGUGGUGCAUGGCUGUCGUCAGCUCGUG
RNAcentral lists this ribosomal RNA (504 nucleotides) under uncultured soil bacterium. RNAcentral describes it as "bacterial SSU rRNA". It matches the Rfam family "Bacterial small subunit ribosomal RNA", at positions 564 to 1064 of the family's 1533-position model. The record is from RNAcentral.